Molecule: ribosomal RNA, 503 nt
Filed under: uncultured bacterium
Lineage: Bacteria
Description: bacterial SSU rRNA
Rfam family: Bacterial small subunit ribosomal RNA
Source: RNAcentral
UGAGUAAUGUCUGGGAAACUGCCUGAUGGAGGGGGAUAACUACUGGAAACGGUAGCUAAUACCGCAUAACGUCGCAAGACCAAAGAGGGGGACCUUCGGGCCUCUUGCCAUCAGAUGUGCCCAGAUGGGAUUAGCUAGUAGGUGGGGUAAUGGCUCACCUAGGCGACGAUCCCUAGCUGGUCUGAGAGGAUGACCAGCCACACUGGAACUGAGACACGGUCCAGACUCCUACGGGAGGCAGCAGUGGGGAAUAUUGCACAAUGGGCGCAAGCCUGAUGCAGCCAUGCCGCGUGUGUGAAGAAGGCCUUCGGGUUGUAAAGCACUUUCAGCGAGGAGGAAGGUGGUGAGCUUAAUACGCUCAUCAAUUGACGUUACUCGCAGAAGAAGCACCGGCUAACUCCGUGCCAGCAGCCGCGGUAAUACGGAGGGUGCAAGCGUUAAUCGGAAUUACUGGGCGUAAAGCGCACGCAUGCGGUUUGUUAAGUCAGAUGUGAAUCCCCGGG